UGGGGAAUCUUGCACAAUGGGGGCAACCCUGAUGCAGCGACGCCGCGUGAGCGAUGAAGGUUUUCGAAUCGUAAAGCUCUGUCCUAUGGGAAGAUAAUGACGGUACCAUAGGAGGAAGCCCCGGCUAACUACGUGCCAGCAGCCGCGGUAAUACGUAGGGGGCGAGCGUUGUCCGGAAUUACUGGGCGUAAAGGGUUCGCAGGCGGCAUGGCAAGUCCGAUGUAAAAGGCGAAGGCUCAACCUUCGUAAGCAUCGGAAACUGUCAAGCUUGAGUGAAGGAGAGGCAAGUGGAAUUCCUAGUGUAGCGAUGAAAUGCGUAGAUAUUAAAAAGAAUACCGGUGGCGAAGGCGACUUGCUGGGCACAAUCUGACGCUGAGGAACGAAAGCGUGGGGAGCAAACAGG
RNAcentral lists this ribosomal RNA (403 nucleotides) under Verrucomicrobiota bacterium. RNAcentral's name for it is "Verrucomicrobia bacterium partial 16S ribosomal RNA". It matches the Rfam family "Bacterial small subunit ribosomal RNA", at positions 355 to 776 of the family's 1533-position model. Lineage: Bacteria; Pseudomonadati; Verrucomicrobiota. The record is from RNAcentral.